GGGGAGGGCGCCCUCAGCAACGGCGCGGGCAACAGUCUCGUCGACCUUGGAGGCGGUGCGGUUGUAGACGGAGAUGGGGAAGCCUUUCUCGGCAAUGUUGAGGGCGAGGUUCUGGCCCAUGACAGCGAGGCCGGCGAGCCCGAUGCGGGAGAGGGUGGCGGCGUCCAUCGGAGCUAGGGUUAGGGUUCCGGCGAGAGGGCGGAGAGGCC
RNAcentral lists this unclassified non-coding RNA (209 nucleotides) under Hevea brasiliensis (rubber tree). Lineage: Eukaryota; Viridiplantae; Streptophyta; Magnoliopsida; Malpighiales; Euphorbiaceae. The record is from RNAcentral.